Molecule: ribosomal RNA, 201 nt
Filed under: uncultured bacterium
Lineage: Bacteria
Description: partial 16S ribosomal RNA
Rfam family: Bacterial small subunit ribosomal RNA
Source: RNAcentral
UGCAGGCUGCAACUCGCCUGCAUGAAGCUGGAAUUGCUAGUAAUCGCGGAUCAGCAAGCCGCGGUGAAUACGUUCCCGGGCCUUGUACACACCGCCCGUCACACCAUGAGAGUCGGGAACACCCGAAGUCCGUAGUCUAACCGCAAGGGGGCGCGGCCGAAGGUGGGUCCGGUAAUUGGGGUGAAGUCGUAACAAGGUAGC